GGGGGUAUAGCUUAAGUGCUGGAGCGCAUGCUUAGCAUGCACAAGGCCCUGGGGUCAAUCCCCAGUACCUCCA
RNAcentral lists this transfer RNA (73 nucleotides) under Camelus ferus (Wild Bactrian camel). It matches the Rfam family "tRNA". From Rfam's summary of the family: Transfer RNA (tRNA) molecules are approximately 80 nucleotides in length. Their secondary structure includes four short double-helical elements and three loops (D, anti-codon, and T loops). Lineage: Eukaryota; Metazoa; Chordata; Mammalia; Artiodactyla; Camelidae. The record is from Rfam by way of RNAcentral.